GUAACUGACAAAUUAGCAAGUCUCUGUGACGGUACUCCUAAAGGGGAAGUCGAUGGCCCAAUGCAGUCGACCUUCCUGAUUGUGGAAGAGCAAAGCGUGGCUAGCGGACAGUAUGUGGGGCUGUGUCUGCUACCAUCCGGGCACCAAGCUCCCCAACCUGGAACAGCAGUUUACCACUCUUGUUCCUAGAUGCCCCAGGAUAACCCAAGGCUUGCGUGGACACCAGUAGGAAACAGAC
RNAcentral lists this long non-coding RNA (238 nucleotides) under Mustela putorius furo (domestic ferret). RNAcentral's name for it is "lncRNA (ENSMPUG00000031794.1)". Lineage: Eukaryota; Metazoa; Chordata; Mammalia; Carnivora; Mustelidae. The record is from RNAcentral.